RNAcentral lists this ribosomal RNA (465 nucleotides) under uncultured bacterium. RNAcentral describes it as "partial 16S ribosomal RNA". It matches the Rfam family "Bacterial small subunit ribosomal RNA", at positions 28 to 507 of the family's 1533-position model. The record is from RNAcentral.
GACGAACGCUGGCGGCGUGCUUAACACAUGCAAGUCGAACGGAAAGGCCCCUUCGGGGGUACUCGAGUGGCGAACGGGUGAGUAACACGUGAGUAACCUGCCCUUGACUUCGGGAUAACUUCAGGAAACUGGGGCUAAUACCGGAUAGGAAUCCUUGCUGCAUGGUGGGGGUUGGAAAGCUUCGGCGGUUUUGGAUGGACUCGCGGCUUAUCAGCUUGUUGGUGGGGUAGUGGCUUACCAAGGCCUUGACGGGUAGCCGGCCUGAGAGGGCGACCGGCCACAUUGGGACUGGGAUACGGCCCAGACUCCUACGGGAGGCAGCAGUGGGGAAUAUUGCACAAUGGGCGGAAGCCUGAUGCAGCAACGCCGCGUGCGGGAUGACGGCCUUCGGGUUGUAAACCGCUUUCAGCAGGGGCGAAGCUUGUGGUGACGGUACCUGCAGAAGAAGCACCGGCUAACUACGUG